GUGCCAGCCGCCGCGGUAAUACCGGCAGCACGAGUGAUGACCGCUCUUAUUGGGCCUAAAGCGUCCGUAGCUGGCCACGCAAGUCUAUCGGGAAAUCCGCGCGCUCAACGCGCGGGCGUCCGGUGGAAACUGCGUGGCUUGGGACCGGAAGAUCCAGAGGGUACGUCUGGGGUAGGAGUGAAAUCCCGUAAUCCUGGACGGACCACCGGUGGCGAAAGCGCUCUGGAAAGACGGAUCCGACGGUGAGGGACGAAGCUCGGGUCACGAACCGGAUUAGAAACCCCAGUAGUCC
Molecule: ribosomal RNA, 292 nt
Filed under: uncultured prokaryote
Description: partial 16S ribosomal RNA
Rfam family: Archaeal small subunit ribosomal RNA
Source: RNAcentral